Camelus ferus (Wild Bactrian camel) is the source of this 72-nucleotide transfer RNA. It matches the Rfam family "tRNA". Rfam says of the family: Transfer RNA (tRNA) molecules are approximately 80 nucleotides in length. Their secondary structure includes four short double-helical elements and three loops (D, anti-codon, and T loops). Further hydrogen bonds mediate the characteristic L-shaped molecular structure. tRNAs have two regions of fundamental functional importance: the anti-codon, which is responsible for specific mRNA codon recognition, and the 3' end, to which the tRNAs corresponding amino acid is attached (by aminoacyl-tRNA synthetases). tRNAs cope with the degeneracy of the genetic code in two manners: having more than one tRNA (with a specific anti-codon) for a particular amino acid; and 'wobble' base-pairing, i.e. permitting non-standard base-pairing at the 3rd anti-codon position. Lineage: Eukaryota; Metazoa; Chordata; Mammalia; Artiodactyla; Camelidae. The record is from Rfam.
GAGGGUAUAACUCAGUGGUAGAGCGCAUGCUUAGCACGCAUGAGGUCCUGGGUUCAAUCCCCAAUACCACUG